GUGGAAAGCAGAAAACAACAACAGUCAGCUGUUUGCUGUAAUUCAUUUAAAGUUCCUUUGCACGUUGCCACACGUCACUUAGACUGAUAUCAUUAUAACUACAACAGCCUAUUAGCGUGAAGAAUUUGUUUGCUCUCUCUCACUACAUUAAAUAUUAUUAAUAAAUUCUUAUAUACUUAGAGCAAACAGAAAAUUGUUGACUGAGACUUGAUUCCUCGAAAUUAUUCGGAUACGGAGACAAACUCUUUGCAUGCACGGAUAAAUUGAAUAAUAAAAUAACCUUUAAAGAAACAAGUUAACAAUGUCUUCGCACGAAGAAAAACCAGAAUACACAGAUGACUUUGACGAGUAUAAUAUUAACCAAGACAAAUUUAUUCACUCCAGUCACAGUGGUAAAGGGCGGUCGAAGAAAGAAGCUGGGUUACAUACCAACCAUGCCGAUCCAGGAGGACAUACGCGCAAAACUGUUAAUAAACUUGUUAAUAACAGUCAUAACACCCAUAAACCACAUAAUCCGACUGGGGAGGGUCAGGCAUCAAAAAAGUGAAUGAUGGCAUCUGAAAAUGUAAGUAAAAAGUGUGUGUUUAAAUGUAUCUUUGUGCAGUAACGUAACUGGGAGGGAGACGUGCUGCAUCCAAAAAGAUGUCAGUAGAACGGGAAUAUUUUUAUGGGGCCGGCACACUUGUGCUUGGGUGUCACACACUCCAAGUCACUUCACUGUCUAUGCAUAUAUGCAAGUAUGUAUAUCUUUGCGCGUAUGUUUAUGUAUUUAUGCAUAUACGUACGUACGUAUGUAUGCAUGUAUAUAUGAAUUUAUGCAUGUGUGUAUAUAUAUGUAACGAUAAUUAUAUAUAUAUUCGUGUGUAUGUGUACUCCCCUGCCGCACAUACAGUAAUCAACUUCGCGUUACAGAAACUCUGUUUACGGAAUUUCGCACAUGAGGAAAUUGUAAAGUAUGAACGCCGUUUUCUGGAUACGGCUUGUAAUUCCACCUUUUCAGAAAUUCAGGUAAACUUUUGCAAGUUUAUAAACUAAAAUCGUAUUGCAUGUACAUGUAUUAAAAUAUCGUGUGAUCCUUUGCGGGUGAGUGAUGUUGUCUACAAAUACAGAAGGAUUGCUACUCAUUGUUUUUAGAAAUAGACCUUGAGCGAGGAACGCUAAUAGGUGGAGGUAAAGAAUACAUACACCGCCCGUUUUCGGCGUAACAAAAACCCUAACCCUAACCACCAGGUAUACGCAUUCUUUACUUUCGCCCGUUUAUAUGCAUGGUCGUUCCAGUAGUCAUUUAUUUGUCUCCAUUCUGUAUAGAGUUUCGUAGCUAAUAGCUCGCCAAAUCCCUUUUCGGUAAAUUUUUAUAUUAACACCCGCACGAUUUUCACCAAGAAAAAUAUCUAUAAGACAGGUUUAUAAAAAUCGAAUAGCUAUGGGGGUCCAUCAGAAUAGAGUAGUAAGGCGGCGAGCUGGCAGAAACUUUAGCAUACUGAAUGAAAUGCUUAGCGGUAUUUUGUCUGCGUUACGUUGUGAGUUCAAAUUCCGCCGAGGUCGACUUUGCCUUUCAUCCUUUCGGGGUCGAUAAAUUAAGUACCAGUUACGCACUGGGGUCGAUGUAAUCGACUUAAUACCUAUGUCUGUCCUUGUUUGUCCCCUCUGUGUUUAGCCCCUUGUGGGUAAUAAAGAAAUAGGUAUUUUGUCUGCCGUUAUGUUCUGAGUUCAAAUUCCGCCAAGGUCGACUUUGCCUUUCAUCCUUUCGGGGUCGAUUAAAUAAGUAUCAGUUUCGCACUGGUGUCGAUGUUAUCGACUUAAUCCGUUUGUCUGUCCUUGUUUGUCCCCUCUGUGUGUAACCCCUUGUGGGCAGUAAAGAAAUAAGAAUAGAAUGGUAAUCAAAGGGGUCCAUAGGUGAAAAUGGUUGAGAACCCCUGCUUUAGAGGGAAAUCAGAAAAUGAAUAUGGUGGAGGUGGAGGAGUAUUGCCAAUGCGAGGUGGUGGUGCUGAUUGACUUGGGAGAAAGUACUGUGUGAUAAAAGUUAGAAACAAGAAGGUUAAUUGAAUUGAUGCACACACAAAUAAUAUGUUGGUCAACAUCUAUGCUUUUCUUCCUUGUCCACCAUGAACCAGUUCAACCGAUUUUAUUUUUCACUGCUCUCAAUAUUCUUGCCAACUUCUACCUGUGCUCUCUUCUGCUCUUGUUGGUGUGUGCAUCAAUUCAACUAACCUUCUUGUUUCUAACUUUUAUCACACAGUACUUUCUCCCACGUCAUUCAGCACUACCACCCCACAUUGGCAAUACUCCUCCACCAUAUAUUCAUUUUCUGAUUUCCAUCUAAAGCAGAGUUUCUCAACCACUUUUACCUAUGGAUCCCCAUAGCCAUUCGAUGUUUAUAAACUAGUUUUAUAGAUAUUUCUUUCGGAACUCCUCUGUUUUGUUGUUCACACAUUGACUUGUGUAGGUUGAACUAUGUAAAAUGUUAGAGAAAGAAGCCGAGCUGUUUCUUGCAGUACAUACCAAUACAUACAUCUAAAGCAAAAUGUUUUCGGGGCCCCUUGAAAUACUAUUACUCUUUUACUUGCUUCAGUCAUUCGACUGUGGCCAUGCUGGAGUACUGCCUUUUAGUCGAGCAAAUCGAUCCCAGGAAUUAUUCUUUGUAAGCCUAGUACUUAUUCUAUCGGUCGCUUUUACUGAACCGCUAAGUUAUGGGGACAUAAACACACCAGCAUCAGUUGUCGAGCGAUUUUUGGGGGACAAACACACACACACACACACACACAUAUAUAUAUAUACGAUGGGGUUCUUUCAGUUUCCAUCUACCAAAUCCACUCACAAGACUUUUGUUGGCCCGAGGCUAUAGUAGAAGACACUGGCCCAAGGUGCCACGCAGUGGGACUGAACCUAGAACCAUGUGGUUUGGUAAGCAAGCUACUUACCACACAACCACUCCUGCGCCUAUGAUUCCCAAUUUAUUAUUUUGUUGUGAUGACCCCCCAAAAUCUUAUAUGUACCCUGGUUGAGAACCACUAACCUAAAGUAAUAGGACCACUUCAUUUUGUGAACAAAGAACAUUCACUCUUCGUGAAUGCAGAACAUCACGACUACUACUUGCUGUGUCUGUCACCAGAACUGUUAGAAUUAACUACAAACACUAGCAGUAUAGCACAUUGCCCUUUCAAGAUGACAGAAAAGAGGUCACUAAGUGGAAAGCAAAGCAGUAGAGCAAAGAUGGGUCAUCAAGAAAGUUAUGUUGAACUUUAAACCUUUACAAAGUAUUUUACAAAGGAUUUGUGUGUGACAAAAACAUUUCAAGCACAUUAAUGUUUACAAUGUCUACUGAGUGUCAAUAAUAAUGACACGUAAUAACAAAACAAAUCAAGUGUUAAAGCUGUGACUUUGUUAACUGUUCAGACAUUUUAUUGCCCUAGAUGUGAUAUGAUGCAAUAACAUGGAAUGUGUUUGUUUGUAUGUUUCCAUUUUUUUAUGCAUUGGUUGAAUUCGUGGUGCCUUUAUGUGUGCAUACAGUGUGCUUAGGGGUACAGUAUAUGUGGGGACUUAUAUUGGGGGGGGGAAGGCUUUUGGGUAGGUGUCCGGCGUGUGUGUGUUUGUGGGUGCAUUAGCGUAUGUUCUGGUCAAACUAUUUGCUGGACUCCCAGGUAUUAGUGGAGGACCAAAGUUGGGGGACUGAUGAUUAUAGGCAUUAUGGAGCAUCCAUGUAUGAUAGACUGUACUUCCUCUCAUGUGGGCAAGGAUUAAAAAUUUCGCUUCUGCUAUUCAGGUAAAUGCCUAGGUGUUGGGUGCUCUCUAAAAUUGCUCUUUUCUCAACCAGGCAUAACCUGCACUUUCUGCUGCUUUUGAAGUGUGCUUUGCAUUUCUCCAGAAUCUUCCACUUUACGUUGUACUUGGUUGUGCUUUUUUUUCAAAAACUAAAUGUGCUAAGCCAGGGUUGUGGCAUUAUGUCUCUCCAGGAUUUUGAAGGAGGACUUGUGCUUCUGAAGGGGCCUUCAGUUGCUUCCACAUACUUUUGCCCUCUUGGUUGCCCAUUUGGUCCUAUGGCUGUUACCACUGCCUCAUAAACAACAGUCUCCAUGUUAUAGUGGCCAUUCAGUGGACAUGUUGUGUUAUCCCUACAUGAGCAUCUUGCCUCUGUCACAGGUGUGGGCCUACCUACUAAAUUUUUUUUUUAUAUUGGGUGCACAGCUAAAAGGAAAACUUAGGGUAUGCAUAUUGAAUAUUUUGCUAAAUCUAUUGGUACAGGGGAAGUGCUUAUCUACUAAACUAAAGAAAAUCUUACCUAUGCAAAUUUUAACACUGCAUAGGUAAGAUAAGAGAAGAAGAGUGUGAACCACAACACCUUGUGGUGGUACAUUCUCUUGCAAAGGUUAGUCUGGUGUGUAACUAAUUCGAUCCUCAUAUACAUAAGCAAAUAUAGGAUAUUUGAAACUUCAUUGUUUAAAUGUACAGAAUAAUGUGUGCCAUACAUAACACACAAAGCUUCAUUUAGAACUGAAAAAUAAUGUCAUCCAAAAGUUUCUCGUUGUUUCGCACCUAAUCUUAUGACCUUGCUUGGAAACUCUGCACUUCACAUGCCACCAUUACUUGUAUUGGUGUAAUUUUCUGGUGAGUAAUAGCUUUCAUUUUACCCAGUGUGCAUUGUUCAUUGAUGCACAUUUUCCAUUUGAAGUAACCCCAAAAGAAAUAAUCACAAACUGCAUGAGCUGGGUGAUCAACCAGACUAUGACAUUGAUCAAAUGUUGUAAAAUGACCGGUCAGUAACCAUCUUUUCUUUCUUUUUUAAUGGCAUCCAUUAGGAUGUUUUUGAAAGAUACUAUAUUUUAUCACCAGAAUAUACUCUUUACUCUUUUACUUGUUUCAGUCAUUUGACUGUGACCAUGCUUGAGCACCGCCUUUUAGUCAAGCAAAUCAACCCCAGUACUUAUUCUUUGUAAGCGUAGUUCUUAUUCUAUCAGUCUCUUUUGCCGAACCACUAAGUUACAGGGACGUAAACACACCAGCAUCGGUUGUCAAGCGAUGUUGAGGGGACAAACACAGACACACAAACAUAUACACACACACACACAUAUAUAUAUAUACAUACAUACAAUGGGCUUCUUUCAGUUUCCGUCUAUCAAAUCCACUCACAAGGCUUUGGUCGGCCCGAGGCUAUAGUAGAAGACACUUGCCCAAGGUGCCACGCACUGGGACUGAACCUGGAACCAUGUGGUUGGUAAGCAAGCUACUUACCACACAGCCACUCCUACGCCUAUUAUAUAUACUUUCUCACACAACAAUUAAGUUAUAUUUAUUUUAAAUCGUUUGUCUUUCUCCCCCAGACCUCACACACAAAAAUUAAUUUGGGCGCAAUUUUUAUUUUUAUUUUGUUUUUCUUAGUUAAAAUCAUGCUGGUGAAAAGAUCAAUGGGGUUGGGGGUGAAAUUUCCGAGGCUUCCACCUCACCCCACCCAAUUUUUCGGACCCCUCAAGCCACAUAAAGCGGUUCAGUGUUAUAUGAUGUACAUUUCACUGAUAUGUGUGAAAAGAUGAUGUUUGUAUAUGUGUGUUAGUAGUUCACCAAUAGAUUAGGCAGGGUUUGAAGUGUAUAUUUUGGGAGUGAUUGUUAAGGAAUGUGAAAAAUAAGCGUAUGGGAUGGUCACAAUGGAUUUUUAAUGUAAAGUGUUUAAGGUUGUGGAGCACUUUGAUGGUUAGUCAAGCAUGUCAUUCAUGUUAAUGUGGUCAAGAAGUUAGUGUGUGUGUAUAUAUAUAUAUAUAUGCACAUACACUCACACACCCAUAUAUAUAUAUAUAUAUAUAUAUAUAUAUAUACACACACACUCACACACACAAACACACACACAUUGGUAUAUAUGUAUAUACAUAGAUACACGCGUACACACACAGUUACAUAUACACAAGAGCCUGGGAACAGAGUGUGCAAGUGGUGCGCUUGCAGCCCCUAAAAUUUCUGGUGGGUGCAAAAUGAAAAUUUGCACUUGUGACAUACUUUGCCUAGUUUAGAAGAUAGUGUCUAAAAACUGAUCUGUAAAAUGUUGCUUGAAGUUGAGUUUCUUCUUAAAACAAGGACAAAAAUAAAUAAAUAAAUAAAUAGUCCAAAAUGUUAACUGAUGAAGCUGGCCAUAAAAUUCUCAAGAGAAUUCUUGAAAGAUAUACUACUGAAUCAAAGCAUCAUCAACAUCAAAAUUAAAAGUGUGUGUAUCUAUAUAUAUUUCUCAUUUUCCCGAGCGUCAAACUAAUACACCUGCUUAUUGUUUAUACACCUGUCUUCGUCUUUUGUUUUUCUGUAAAUUCCAACUAUAUAUUAGUAUAUAUAUAUGUAUAUAUAUAUAUAAACAGAUUCUACUUGAUAAAUUCUUAUAUAGAUUUUAUCCUUAUAAUUAAUUUUAUAUAUAAUGGUUUGCAAUACUAACUUCAGGAAACCUAUCAAUCACCUACUGACACACUAGUCAGAUUGACUACAUCCUCACCAGGAAAAGGGAACGAUGGCUACUUAUAAAUGCCAACACCUACCCAGGCGAAGAAUAGACUAGUAGUUAGCAACUUCAAGAUCAGGGAUAAAUGGAUGCCCAGAAGACGACCAGCAUGGAGGAGAAGGGUUUGGAAGCUUAAAGAUCUUGCAAAUGGACAGAGAUUUAGAGAUGUAUUAUUCGAAGCUUUUGACGAAAUAGAGGGGGAUGUAGCAUCACCUUAUGUGGAAGACAACUGGAGGUUUCUAUGGGAUAACAUGCUGAGGGCCACUGUGGAUGGUGCAAAGUCCCCUCUCGACCCAAGGUAACAUGGUGGUGGAACAAUGUUGUUGACAGGGCCAUUAGGAAAAAGAAACGGCUUGGAAGGUCUGGAAGAAUGGUGGUAGCAGGGAAUCAUAUCUGACUGCUAAAAGGGAAGCUAGGAGACAGGCUUAUUUAACCAGGGGAGAAGCAGAUAAGAAAAAAUUUGCCAAUGUUCUGCACCGUGAGGACCAAAGACUUGAGGUAUCUUGUGCUGUGAGAGAGAAUCGUGAUGUCAUAGAAGAGAAAUGUGUUUGCAUGGAUGAUGGUUCACUUGCAUUAAACGAGACUGCAAAGAGAGAAGUAAGGAGAUGCCACUAUGAAAAGUUGCUAAAUAAAGAGAAUGAACGGGAGAAUGAGGAAACUAGGGAUAGAUGAAUGGUUAGUGAGAGCUGUGCAAGCCAUGUACAGGGACGCUGUCAGUAAGGUGAGGAUUGGCAACAAGUACUGUGAAGAAUUCCAGGUAGAGGUUAGAGUCUACCAAGGUUCAGUCCUCAGCCCCCUCCUAUUUAUCAUAGUCCUCCAGGCAAUAACAGAGGAAUUCAAAACAGGAUGCCCUUGGGAGCUCCUCUAUACUGAUGACCUUGUCUUAUUGCUGAGUCACUAUCAGAACUAGAGAAGUUUCAGGUGUGGAAGCAAGGAUUAGAAUCAAAGGCCUUAGAGUCAAUCUAGCUAAAACCAAAGUCUUAAUAAGUAGGAAGGCAGACUAACCAUAAAUACCUUCAGGUAGAUGGCCCUGCUUGAUUUGUAGAAAAGGCGUAGGUAGAAACUCUAUAAGAUGUACCCAGUGCAUGCUAUGGACACAUAAGAGGUACAGCAAUAUCAAAGGAAGGCUAACUGGGAAGAUAGUUUUUGUAUGUGGCAGAUGCUCAGGAGCAAUAAACACUGGAAAUGUGCAGAGAACAACUUCUGUCACAUUCCAGGGAGAAAAACUAGAAGUAGUUAACAGCUUCCAUUACCUAGGUGACCAAGUCACUUGUUGGGGUGGAUGCUCUGAAAGUGUAGCUGCUAGAAUAAGAAUAGCCUGGGCAAAGUUCAGAGAGCUCCUACCUCUGCUGGUGACAAAGGGCCUCUCGCCCAGAGUAGAAGGUAGACUGUAUGACGCAUGUGUACAAACAGCCAUGCUACAUGGUAGUGAAAUAUGGGUGGUGACUGCUGAGGACAUGUGUAAGCUUGCAAGGAAAGAAGUCAGUAUACUCUGCUGGAUGGGUAAUGUCAGUGUGUAUACUCGACAGAGUGUAAAUACCUUGAGAGAAAAGUUGGACCUAAGAAGCAUCAGAUGUGGUGUGCAAGAGAGACGACUGCAUUGGUAUGGAAAUGUGGUGCAAAUGGAUGAGGACAGCUGUAUGAAAACGUGUCACACCCUAGCAGUUGAGGGAAUCUGUAGAAGAGGUAGAACCAGGAAUACCUGGGAUGAGGUGGUGAAGCAUGACCUUCAAACAUUGGGCCUUACUGAAGCAAUGACUAGUGACCGAGACCUCUGGAAAUAUGCUGUGCUUGAGAAGACCCGGCAAGCCAAGUGAGACCAUAACUUGUGGCCUAUCCCUAUGCCAGUGGUGCAACCAGCCUGCUUAUGUGUUACUUGUGAAGACCUGUUGAGGCAAGUGAAAUCACAAUCAAAAUCAAAUUCUCUGAUGUGGCCAAUUACAGCACUGCCUGACUGGCACCUGUGCCAGUGGAAUGUUAAAAGCACCAUCCAAGCAUGAUCGUUGCUAGGGCCACUGAUUGGCUCCUGUGCCAGUGACAUAUAAAAAGCACGAUUUGAGGUUGAUCGUUACCAGCGUUGCCUUACUGGCACUUGUGCCGGUAGCACGUGAAAAACAACAUUUGAGUGCCGUCAUUGCCAGUGUUGUUGGACUGGCUCCUGUGCAGGUGGCACAUAAAAAACACCAUUUGAGUGUGGCUGUCGCCAGUACUGCCUGACUGGCCCUCGUACCAGUGGCACAUAAAAGCACCCGCUACACUCUCAGAGUGGUUGGCAUUAGGAAGGGCAUCCAGCUGUAUAAACUCUGCCAGAUCAGACUGGAGCCUGGUGCGGCCAUCUGGCUUGCCAGUCCUCAGUCAAACCAUCCAACCAAUGCCAGCAUGGGAAGCAGACGUUAAAUGAUGAUGAUGAUGACUACAAAUAUGACUGAGGCAUCUAGGGGUGGUCAUAUAGUAUUCUAUGUACUUUGAGUAAAUAUAUAAACUGAAGGCAUAAAAGUUAGGGGUGGGCAAAAGCCCCAUUAUUUAAUUUAUUCGCACUCUACUUCUGAAAAUAUUAAUAGCUCUCUUUUUCUUUCUUCUUUCUGUCCUUUCCCCCCUCUUUCUUUCCUCUUUCCUUUCAUUCUUUUUUUCCUUUCUCUCCUUCCUUCCUUCCUCCUUUAUUUCCUUUGUUUAUUCCUAUUUUUCUUCUUUUCCUAUUUUCUUUCAUUCCUUCUUUCAAUAUGAAAACUGUAACACUAGACUGAAUCACUACAGUGAUAAAGAUCAAACUGUGACAGAAAUAUUCAAUCAUCAUCAUUAUUAUUAUCAUCAUCAUCAUCAUUAUUAUUAUUAUUAUAGCUAAAAUUACAUUACUGAUAACAAACUCCUCUUGUUCCAAAGUUCAUUACAGUUGACACAUCAAGGCAAGUGGUUAUAAUUAGCUCAAAGAUAUCUUUUAGCUCCUUGUUUUGUUUCAGACAUCAUGUAGUACUUACUACCUUAUGGUAUCUAUUACUUAAGGCGGCGAGCUGGCAGAAACGUUAGCACGCCGGGCGAAAUGCUUAGCGGUAUUUCGUCUGCCGUUACGUUGUGAGUUCAAAUUCUGCCGAGGUCAACUUUGCCUUUCAUCCUUUCGGGGUCGAUAAAUUAAGUACCGGUUACGCACUGGGGUCGAUGUAAUCGACUUAAUACCUAUGUCUGUCCUUGUUUGUCCCCUCUGUGUUUAGCCCCUCGUGGGUAAUAAAGAAAUAGGUAUUUCGUCUGCGUUACGUUGUGAGUUCAAAUUCCGGCGAGGUCGACUUUGCCUUUCAUCCUUUCGGGGUCGAUAAAUUAAGUACCAGUUACGCACUGGGGUCGAUGUAAUCAACUUAAUACCUAUGUCUGUCCUUGUUUGUCCGUUCUGUGUUUAGCCCCUUGUGGGUAAUAAAGAAAUAGGUAUCUAUUACUUGUUUCAGUCAUUAGACUGCGGCCAUGCUGGGGCACCAUCUUGAAAGGUUUUAGUUGAAUGAAUUGACACCAGUACAUUCUAUUUUUAUUUUUUUUAAAGCCUGGUACUUAUUUUCUCUGUUAGUCUCUUUUGCCGAACUGUUAGGUUAUGGGGAAUUAAACAAACCAAUACCAGUUGUCAAGUAGUGGUGGGGGACAGACAGACAGACACACACACACGCAGACACACACACACACACACACACACAUACACACACACAACAGCCUUCUUUCAGUUUCCAUCUGCCAAAUUCACUCACAAGGCUUUGGUUGACCUGAGGAUAUAGAAGAAGGCAUUUGCCCAUGGUGCCAUGUAGUUUGGAAGCAAACUUUUUACCACACAGCCACACCAUAGAUAUAUUGUAAUGGUUGUAUAUUACUUUCUUAUUUAACAUGUCUGUGAGUCUUCAGGUGCAAAGAAAUCAUCAUCCAUACCUGUGUUGUUUAGGCCCAGUUCAACCCAUUCAUGUCUCUUGUUUUAGAUGCAUAUUGCACUGAUGGUCAGUAACAUUCCAUCAAUGACCAGUCCAGUUUUUUGUUCAAAUUGAAUGUUUCUAGGACCAUAUAUUUCAAACUCUCCUUCAUUUUUAGACAACAGGGUGUAAUUUGAAGAUUUCACUUUUAUUUCUAGCAGGUUGGACAACUAUGUAAAGAUGCCCUCAUAUUGAGUUGUAGUGUGUCUACAAAACAGCAGCAGUGUGUUUCACAAGGAUUAAGUUGUCUUUUAUUCAUUGGCCUUGGCUGGCUGCAACCACUGACUAGCUAGCAGAUAAACAAUCUAUUUAUAACUGAUAUCUGUCAAAGAAAAGUCUCCAAAGACAUAAUUGUUAUUGAAAUUUCAACGAAUCUAUUGUCUUGUUUUGCUGGUCAACUAGCUACUGAUAAAAAAGAAAAACAAAGCCUUGUGAGUGGAUUUGGUAGAUGGAAAUUGAAAGAAGCUUAUCGUAUAUAUAUGUGUGUGUUUGUGUGUCUGUGUUUGUCCCCCCCAACAUCGCUUGACAACCGAUGCUGGUGUAUUUACAUCCCGUAACUUAGCAGUUCAGCAAAAGAGAUCGAUAGAAUAAGUACUAGGCUUACAAAGAAUAAGUCCUGGGGUCGAUUUGCUCGACUAAAGGCGGUGCUCCAGCAUGGCCACAGUCAAAUGACUGAAACAAGUAAAAGAGUAAAGAGUAUCCUCAUUAAAUGUUCAUGUUCCAUGCUGGCUGGCAUGGGUUGGACAGUUUGACAGGAACCAAUGGGUCCAACAACUACAUGGUGCUCUAGUGUCUGUUUGGCAUGGUUUCUAUGGCUGGAUACCCUUCUUAAUGUCCACCACUUUACAGUGUGUAGUGGGUACUUUUUUUUUGUACCACCAGCUUAAGUGAGGUCACCAUGCAACUUGCAAGACUACAAAACAUGAGUUUGGAGGUGGAGUUUUAUGCUUGGAGAAUGAGAAGAGAGGGGUGAAGUAUGAAAGAAAAGGGUCAGAGAAGAGUAGGCUUCUUACUGUGGAGGAGUGAUAUAACAAAAAAUAUAAUAAAUAAGUAAAAGCACAGGCAUGCCUGUGUGGUAAGAAAUUUGUUUCCCAACCACAUGGUUCUGGGUUCAGUCCCACUGCAAAGAACCAUGGGCAAGUGUCUUCUACGAUAGUCUCGGGCCAACCAAACCCUUGUAAGUAGAUCUAGUUGAUGGAAACUGAAAGAAGCCUGUCAUAUAUCAUCAUCCUUAACAUCCAUUUUCCAUGGUUGGUUAAUUUGAUGGAGAGCUGUUCCGGGUUCCAGUCUGAUUUGGCUUGGUUUCUAUGGUUCAAUGCCCUUCCUAAUGCUAACCACUUUACAGUGUGUGUACUGGGUGCUUUUAAUGUGGCACUGGGAUGAGUAUGUAUAUAUAUAUAUAUAUAUAUAUAUAUGUGUGUGUAUAUAUGUGUGUAUAUUUAUGUGUCUUUGUGUCUAUGUUUGUCCCUCACCAUUGUUUGAUAACCUUUGUUGGUGUGUUUACAUCCCUGUAAGUCGGGCAGUUUAGCAAAAGAGAUCACUAGAACAAGUACCCAGUUUUAAAAAAAAUAAAAGUGCUGGAGCCAAUUUGUUCGACUGGAAUUCUUCUAUGCAUUACCCCAGCAUUGACACAAUCUUAUGACUGAAACAUGUACAAGAUAACCGUAAUUCCACAGCUUCAUGAUUUAUAAUAAUUCUAGUAAAAUAUUGAAGUUUUAUUUUUCUCUUUAUUUUCAGGAAUUUUGUAAUACAGAAGAAAUUUUGCAGACACUUGAUCAUGACCAAAAAAAAAAAAAAACCAACUUGAAAAUGCUUAAUUCAAGCAGACUACUGGCUACUGUAUUCUGUUUUCUAUGGAUUUGAAAUAAUUUUUUUUUUUAAUGUUUUGUCUAUCAUUCUUUCUAUUAUCUUUACUUUACAAUUAUUGUGGUUUGAUUAUGGUUUCUUCAAGGUGACUGUAAUUGUACAUUUUUUAAUUUUAUUUUUAUAUUUUUUUUGUAGUUUUUGUUAAAUUUUAUAACUGUUCUUUUUUUUAUGUUUUCAGCUAAACUGUCAUGUUUAAUUUAUGAAAUGGAAAAAAAGAAUUAGAAUUAAGAAAAUGUAACUACAACAGUUAGUAUUAAAGUAGGGAAUAGGCUAUUUCUAAUGUUAAUGUGUUUAUUUUAGUUUCUCAUACAAAUUAUGCUACAUUACACACACAUACACUGUUUGUAAUAUAAUCUUUGUAGUAAGUAUAGUGAGUAGAACAAUUCUGUAUAUUUUGACUUUGUUAAAAAUCUAAUGACAUUAAUGUCAAAACACACAUUUAGUGACAUGUAACAAGGUAAAUAUAUCAAUUACUUUAUUUGGAACCAGCAGAAUUUGUAACUCUAAUUUAUAAACACACAUUUGUCCCCCUCUUUACUCGCAUGCAUCAGACACACUUUUAAGCACAUAUAUUUAAUUAUAUUUUGAAUUUAGAUAAAAUACAUUGACCUAUUUGUUUUAAUAUGAAAUAUGCCAUCUUGCAAUUUUGCAUAAUGAAUUUCUAUGCAUAAAUAUUUUGUUUUCUUUUCCUUGAUAACCAAUGAAUAUAAAUGAAAAGCAAUGGUUUCUCUUUUUCCGUGAAUAUUUAAAUUCUGGAAGAAUAAUAACAAUGGAAAAUGAUUGGAUAAUCUAAAUACAUAUUAAUAAUGGGUGAAGUAACAAUGGAAGGAAAUUAUUAUAAAGUUCUGUAUAAAAAUGGAGAAAUAAAACAAUAACAAACCAAAAACUAGAUUUAUCACUUUCUCUUUGCUAAUGCAUUCAUUAGCAUAAAUUGAAUUUGCAAAUAUGUUUAUACAUUGUGAAGGCAUGUGGCAUAGUGGUUAGGGUGUUAGACUCAUAAUCACUAAAUUGUGGUUUCAAUUCUUGAACUGGGUGGAGUAUUGUUUUUUGAGUGAAAUACUUUUUUCUCAUUGUUCCAGUCCAGUCAACUGUAAAUGAUGAUUCUGUGAUGAACUGGCAUCUUGUUCAGAGGGAAUGUUUUGAUCUUGGUCACUUCCUCACCAAGGAAAUUGGGUAACCAACCUUAUCAGUCCCAGAUCAGACACUAAGAAAUGAUGGAUACUAAGGCAUGAUGUAUGUAGGUAGAUGAGUUUAAUAGUGUGUAGUUUACUGUUUGACAGUUCAGUAGUUGAACAAAACACCUUGUUUCAUGUUGUUCCAGUCCUACUGGCUGUAAAUAAGUAACCUUGUGAUGAACCUGCAUCCCAUUCAGAGAGAAUAUUGUGAUUUCAGUCACUUAUUUGCUAUGCAUAAGCAGUCUUAUGAGCCAUAGAUUACUGUAAUCCCUCACCAUAUUACAGUUCACCUACCAUAGUUUAUUAUAAGCUUCUGUUGCUUCAUUUAAGUCAUCCUGUAAAGAAGAAAGUGUAUCUUCAGCUUAGAUUAUUAUGAGGCUCCGAGUCAUCUGGAUUUCUGAGGUAUUAAGCGGUAAGACUAUGACUCGCACCAGAAUGGAACAACUCUCUUUUACAGAGUUACCUCCCAGCUGUUGCUUGAACUUAUUUUCAACUGAACGGACUGGAGCAAUAUGAAAUGAAAUGUCUUGCUGAAGAGUACAAUUCUUCACAUGGUCUGUAAAUUGAUCCCAUGAACUAUUGAUCAUGACUCUAACGUCCUAACCACUUAGUUACAUGCUUUCACAACUCUUUCUAUAGGCCUCAAUUAUAUGGAAUUGUUCGUAUUGUGACUGUAUUUCAAUCAAUUCUCUCCCUAUCAUGUCAAAUUGGAUUUGAUAUGAAUGACCAAAAGAUUAGUUGACACUUAGUAUAGUUGUUCCGUUGAGGAAUCCUAUUAUCUCUCAAAGUAUAGGGAUAUUGCUGAAGACUUUGCUUUUAUACAGCAUUUUGAAGCCAAAUCAAACAACUAGAGCUAUUUUAUCUUUGAAUAAUAUUUACAAGAACCAAGCACCCUCACGAGCAUUACCUGACACCUUGGUGAGGUGAGCUGCCAAUGAUGACAAGAAUUUUGUGAUUAGCAGCCCAGUCCUUCCAAACAUCUCAAAUGUUACAGGUUGGAAGAAAUAAUUCAUUGCCAGGUCCCAGUUCUUCAAGGUUUUGUUCCAUUUGGCUAUGGAAGCAGUGACCCUCCCAUUUAGCAUAGCAUUCAGGACAUGGAAGGGAGCAAAAGAGUCACAGACCGUGGCAUCCUGUUCAUAUUUUGAAUAAAAACUAUACGUUUUUCAGAUUAACAAAUAAAAAAUUUAUAGGAGUUGAGCUCCCUAUUAAUAACUUAUAAGAUACUUGUCUCUUAGACAAUGCUUACAGCAAUUACUGUACAUAUCUUAAGGUACUUAGUUAUUCAGUUUCGAUUUCAAUGUAGUGCUAAUAGGGAAUAUAAACAGCACCUUAAUCAGUAGAAUACUUUAUUGGACUGGACAAUCAUUUCUGUAUUAAAAACCUGCAACAAGCUGCUAGAUAUUAUAUUUCUAUUUCCCCAUUGUUGAAUGAAGCUUCCGCAUACUGUAACCAGCUUAUCUAUUUUGGUUAUAGGGUUAACUAAAUGUUGUUAUGAUUAGGUGGUUAGCUCUGAUCAAUUGCCUUCUUGCUGUAAUUUGAACUCAGAACAAAGAAUCAGAACAGAUAUUGCAACAAAUCUCUUUCAGUGCUCAAACCAUUCUUAUUUCUUUACUACCCACAAGGGGUUAAACAUAGAGGGGACAAACAAGAAUAGACAAGGGAUUAAGUCAAUUACAUCGACUCCAGUGCGUAACUGGUACUUAAUUUAUCGACCCCGAAAGGAUGAAAGGCAAAGUCGACCUCAGCAGAUUUUGAACUCAGAACGUAACAGCAGACGAAAUACCACUAAGUAUUUUGCCCAGUAUGCUAAUGUUUCUGCCAGCUUGCCACCUUACGGUUCUCAACAAUGCUCAAACAAUUCUGCCAAUGUACCACCCUGGACAGGUAUUUUAUUGACCUCCACUCCCCCACUGCCUUGCACCAAGAUUAAAAGCAAUGAUGAUCUCACUAGGAUUUGAACUAUGAGUACAGAGGGCCAGAAUGAAUGACACAAGGUACUUGGUAUUCUAUUUGAUACUUUAGCAGUAUCAACCAGCUCAACUUAUUUUUGCUGCUGUUCAACAUUCAAUUUUGCGUUGAAGCUUAGGAGAAGAAAUACAUUUUGAGGGAUGCAAAUUUAAGUAUAUAACUACUGUGGACGCAAUUAGUUUUACAACUGGAUAUUCUUACUACUACUAACCAUUCAGCCAACUAAAGAAAUAUGAGUGCAAUAUAUUAUUAACUAGAAAGCAUGAAGCAAGCAGAAUGAUACAUCGUGAAAUAUGACUUUCUCUGUAUGAAAUAAUAUGACGUCCAUUUAUAAUAUGGUCACUAAUGUGUCAUUGCAGCUGUAUAUUUUCACAACACAACUGUAGUCCUUAUCAAAUCACUUAGACCUUCAGCACUACAGCAUUAUCACUUCAUCAUUAAAGCCACGAGCACACACACAAUGAUUAAUGGUAUCCAGUUAUAGACAUAUGACACAUAUAUAAGCACUGCUUUUGUGAAAAGAAACAAUUUAAAUAGUCCAACAGAAUAAUAUCAGUCUUGUUCACUUCAGCUACUCAAAGAUAUAACCACUUUACAUAACUAGUAAACAAUCUUAUAUCUGGACUCAAUACUAUCAAAAAUGUGUCUAAAACCUUCAAAUUUGCCUGAUGUAAAUGUUGUCAACUCACCAUCAUUAAGAACCUUCUCUGGUAAUCUCGGAUCCUCAAAGACAACAAAGGUUACAACACAUUACUCCCUUCCUUUAUUGCUUAAUUCCCCUUUUCUCUUUAUUUGUUUCUUUGUUGAAUUAAUUUUGAGGUUUCUUGUUUCUGUGGUUGAUAUCUGAUUCCAUUUGGUGUUUCUAAAGUGAAAGAUCACUUAUAUUUUGCAAUAAUUUAAUCUUUCAUGCUUUUAAUUUCUUGUAUCUUUUAAUCAACUUCUCUUUACAUGUUCAAAUAAAGAUUUUUGUUUUAUGAAUU
Molecule: long non-coding RNA, 16399 nt
Filed under: Octopus vulgaris (common octopus)
Lineage: Eukaryota; Metazoa; Mollusca; Cephalopoda; Octopoda; Octopodidae
Source: RNAcentral